CAAGUCGAACGCGAAAGUCCCGCAAGGGAUAAGUAGAGUGGCAAACGGGUGAGUAACGCGUGGGUGACCUGCCUUCGAGCGGGGGAUAACGUUCCGAAAGGGACGCUAAUACCGCAUAACAUCCUGCCUUUGAACAGGUGGAGAUCAAAGCUGGGGAUUCGCAAGAACCCGGCACUUGAAGAGGGGCCCGCGUCUGAUUAGCUAGUUGGUGAGGUAACGGCUCACCAAGGCAACGAUCAGUAUCCGGCCUGAGAGGGCGGACGGACACACUGGGACUGAGACACGGCCCAGACUCCUACGGGAGGCAGCAGUGGGGAAUUGUUCGCAAUGGGCGCAAGCCUGACGACGCAACGCCGCGUGGAGGAUGAAGAUUUUCGGAUCGUAAACUCCUGUCGAAUGGGACGAACAGGUUGCGGGUUAAUACACCGCAGCCCUGACGGUACCGUUAAAGGAAACCCCGGCUAACUCCGUGCCAGCAGCCGCGGUAAUACGGGGGGGGUAAGCGUUGUUCGGAAUUACUGGGCGUAAAGGGCUCGUAGGCGGCCAACUAAGUCAGACGUGAAAUCCCUCAGCUUAACUGGGGAACUGCGUCUGAUACUGGAUGGCUUGGAUUCGGGAGAGGAAUGCGGAAUUCCAGGUGUAGCGGUGAAAUGCGUAGAUAUCUGGAGGAACACCGGUGGCGAAGGCGGCAUUCUGGACCGACAUUGACGCUGAGGAGCGAAAGCCAGGGGAGCAAACGGGAUUAGAUACCCCGGUAGUCCUGGCCCUAAACGAUGAA
Molecule: ribosomal RNA, 778 nt
Filed under: uncultured Pseudomonadota bacterium
Lineage: Bacteria; Pseudomonadati; Pseudomonadota
Description: bacterial SSU rRNA
Rfam family: Bacterial small subunit ribosomal RNA
Source: RNAcentral